This 630-nucleotide ribosomal RNA is filed under the name uncultured bacterium. RNAcentral's name for it is "bacterial SSU rRNA". It matches the Rfam family "Bacterial small subunit ribosomal RNA", at positions 123 to 767 of the family's 1533-position model. The record is from RNAcentral.
AACUUGCCUCUUGGACUGGGACAACUGUUGGAAACGACAGCUAAUACCGGAUAUUAUGAGAUUCUCGCAUGAGAAACUUAUGAAAGCUAUAUGCGCCAAGAGAGAGCCUUGCGUUCCAUUAGCUAGUUGGUGGGGUAACGGCCCACCAAGGCGACGAUGGAUAGCCGGCCUGAGAGGGUGAACGGCCACAAGGGGACUGAGACACGGCCCUUACUCCUACGGGAGGCAGCAGUGGGGAAUAUUGGACAAUGGGCCACAAGCCUGAUCCAGCAAUUCUGUGUGCACGAUGAAGGUCUUCGGAUUGUAAAGUGCUUUCAGUUGGGAAGAAGAAAGUGACGGUACCAACAGAAGAAGCGACGGCUAAAUACGUGCCAGCAGCCGCGGUAAUACGUAUGUCGCAAGCGUUAUCCGGAUUUAUUGGGCGUAAAGCGCGUCUAGGCGGAAAAAUAAGUCUGAUGUUAAAAUGCGGGGCUCAACUCCGUAUUGCGUUGGAAACUGUUUUUCUAGAGUACUGGAGAGGUGGGCGGAACUACAAGUGUAGAGGUGAAAUUCGUAGAUAUUUGUAGGAAUGCCGAUGGAGAAGUCAGCUCACUGGACAGAUACUGACGCUGAAGCGCGAAAGCGUGGGGA